GGUAGGGUAGCCGAGCGUCCAGGCGGCGGGUUGUAGCCCCGAAGACAAAGGUUUAAAUCCUUUCUCUACCA
RNAcentral lists this transfer RNA (71 nucleotides) under Meda fulgida (spikedace). Its description in RNAcentral is "tRNA-Tyr". It matches the Rfam family "tRNA". Rfam says of the family: Transfer RNA (tRNA) molecules are approximately 80 nucleotides in length. Their secondary structure includes four short double-helical elements and three loops (D, anti-codon, and T loops). Further hydrogen bonds mediate the characteristic L-shaped molecular structure. tRNAs have two regions of fundamental functional importance: the anti-codon, which is responsible for specific mRNA codon recognition, and the 3' end, to which the tRNAs corresponding amino acid is attached (by aminoacyl-tRNA synthetases). tRNAs cope with the degeneracy of the genetic code in two manners: having more than one tRNA (with a specific anti-codon) for a particular amino acid; and 'wobble' base-pairing, i.e. permitting non-standard base-pairing at the 3rd anti-codon position. The record is from RNAcentral. Lineage: Eukaryota; Metazoa; Chordata; Actinopteri; Cypriniformes; Leuciscidae.